Felis catus (domestic cat) is the source of this 278-nucleotide long non-coding RNA. RefSeq lists it as uncharacterized. The record is from RefSeq and is a predicted model, not a curated record. The transcript has 3 exons. Lineage: Eukaryota; Metazoa; Chordata; Mammalia; Carnivora; Felidae.
GCCUGGAGCCCGAAGACGGCCGGAGCUGAAACCGGUCACUAGACACUGUCCAAACUGGGCAGAGGAGGGGGAAGCGCCCAGAGAGUGGGGCAGACCUGCAGGACAUUUUUAUUAGCACUUGGAGGAUCUCCUGGCAUUGGGCUACCCUAUCCAAGGAUAACAGCCUCAGUGGACAGUGUGGCCACCUCAGUGAUGCAAGGGAAAUGGCUGAGGCCAGAGUGAAGAUUGAAAUGGAUAAAGAAAACAGAAGUGAAGGCAAUUUUGAAGAUUUGAAUUUA